This 1170-nucleotide long non-coding RNA is filed under the name Trifolium pratense (red clover). RNAcentral describes it as "long non-coding RNA (TPRA_LNC002413)". Lineage: Eukaryota; Viridiplantae; Streptophyta; Magnoliopsida; Fabales; Fabaceae. The record is from RNAcentral.
UUUAGUACUUUUGACUGUUGUUCCAAAAAAACAAAAAAGAAAGAAAGUAGCAGUGAAAGACAAAAGCAGUGCCGUUAUAGUUUUUGGUGUUACUUGAUCGAUCUAACGACUUCGUCAGACCAGUCCUAUUCAGAUUCCUCCUCUCUCUCUCUCUCUCUCUCUCUCUCUCUGGUAAUUUUUGAUCGAGAUUCUCUCUGUAACUUUUUCAUGAACAUAUAGGGUUUUUCUUUCAUUACAUAUUUUGAUUCAUGAUUCAUUUGUUAUAGCUCAAGAAGUAAGAACUGUUGUUCAUAUAAUAUUUUCUGUUAAUUGUGAUUAUUUUUAGAUUUUUCUAUGAUUCACUUUGACUAUUUUUAUGUAUAAAUCUAUAAAAUAUUUUUUCAUUUCUUUGAUUCUUGAUUUUAUUCAAGUUUAUAAUCUUCCUUGAUGAUAAGCAUGUUUAAUUUAACAAAUUUAAUUUGAUUUGAUUUGGAGUUUAUGACUGUUUUGGUUGACUUAUUUGAGCUUAUUGACUGGCGUAAGCACCGGUGCUAUUUUUCGAAAGAGCUUAUAUGAAAACAGAUUAUACAUGUUCAUAAGUUGUUUUCAGCUCAUUUCUAUGAGUUUUUCCAAGAUAGUUUAUAACAACAACUUAUAGCAUACAAUAAAACAAUUUGACUUUAUUUUAUUGUUUGUUAUAGAUAUAACUUAUACACCAAAACUUAUAUGAUAAGUGAUUAUGCUACAAGCGCUUAAUUAAGCUGUUUAUUUAAAUAGGACCUUAAUGGACUAUAUUGUCUGCGUAAAUGGGUUUUACAGACAUCCAAUGAGAGACUGCUGUUUUUGUAUGUACUACCAUCAAUUUUAGAAUGCCUUACAAAAGUCGGAUGGUGCGGCAAUAUAUUGGAUUUUUCAUUAGAUGUCUAGUUUAGACUAAGAGUGCCCUUUAAAUUGUUUUAUUUUAUGAUUUUUAAAAACAGAUGUUUAUUUAAUUUAAGUGAAAAUGAUGACGUUUUAUGAAUUACUGUUCUUGACUUACUCGUCUGUUAUGGGUUUUCUACUUCAGACAGGUUUGAGUUUCAACUGUAUUUGCCCAUUGAAUUUGAUCUCGUUGCUAGCUUCAGGUUCCAUGCCUUCUGUAACCUCACCUCAGUGGCAAGAUAAGGCUACUGGUUUCUUUUCUUCUUCAGG